CUCUGAGGAGGGGAGGCUGUUUAGGGUGAGAAAACUGAAAGGGGAUCUCACCCAUCCGCAGGAAUAUCUCAAAUAUCCCUGCAAAUAUCUAAUCUCAGAGGGGAUCUCAUCGAUCCACACAGAGAUCUCGAAUAUCGGUACAAACAUCUCAUCUGAGGGGGGGAGCUCAUCAGUCCAUACAAACAUCUCAUCAACCCACUGCAGGUCACUGAGAAGCAGUUUGUACCCAGGUGAGUGAUAGUGUGUGAGCCAAGAGGUCAGGGAUGGAAAUGCCUCUUCAAUAUCUGCUACCUCAGGGACCUGGGCUGUUCAUUGUGCAACUGAACCAAGAAUAGAAACAAAACCUGUGCAAACCCACCCUGAAGGCUGGAGUCCUUUCCAUCCAAAACAGUCCAAAAAAGUCAAUGGUUAGUUGAAAAUCUGGCAGAAUCAAGCAAGAUAAUACAAAUAAAAAGCAAAUAAAAGUCUUCAAAUCUCAUCUUAAUGUCUUUCAUCAACAUUUAAUUGCCAUAAUUGCUAAAAAUAAGGUAGGAAUGGAGCAGAAUAAGGUUUGAAAAGGAGAAAGAGAGCAAAGUUCUUCAAUAGCAAAAAAUAAAAAUC
Long non-coding RNA from Neopelma chrysocephalum (saffron-crested tyrant-manakin), 600 nucleotides. RefSeq lists it as uncharacterized. Lineage: Eukaryota; Metazoa; Chordata; Aves; Passeriformes; Pipridae. The record is from RefSeq and is a predicted model, not a curated record. The transcript has 3 exons.